UCGAGAAUCUUCGGCAAUGGGCGCAAGCCUGACCGAGCGACGCCGCGUGGAGGAUGAAGGCCUUCGGGUUGUAAACUCCUGUCGCUUGUUAAGAAACGACUCCGGUCGAACAGGCCGGAGUCUUGACGUUAGCAAGAGAGGAAGCACCCGCUAACUCCGUGCCAGCAGCGGCGGUAAGACGGAGGGUGCAAGCGUUAUUCGGAGUUACUGGGCUUAAAGGGCUCGUAGGCGGCUGUGUGUGUCCGUGGUGAAAUCCCUCGGCUCAACCGAGGAACGGCUGCGGAAACUGCACGGCUUGAGGGUGGGAGGGGUAAACGGAAUUCCCGGUGUAGCGGUGAAAUGCGUAGAUAUCGGGAGGAACGCCGGUGGCGAAGGCGGUUUACUGGUCCAUUCCUGACGCUGAGGAGCGAAAGCCAGGGGAGCAAACGGGAUUAGAUACCCCGGUAGUCC
RNAcentral lists this ribosomal RNA (450 nucleotides) under uncultured bacterium. Its description in RNAcentral is "bacterial SSU rRNA". It matches the Rfam family "Bacterial small subunit ribosomal RNA", at positions 355 to 796 of the family's 1533-position model. The record is from RNAcentral.